Long non-coding RNA from Hemicordylus capensis (graceful crag lizard), 2515 nucleotides. RefSeq lists it as uncharacterized. NCBI's taxonomy places the organism in Eukaryota, Metazoa, Chordata, Lepidosauria, Squamata, Cordylidae. The transcript has 3 exons. The record is from RefSeq and is a predicted model, not a curated record.
AUGCAUUCAGAGUGGGGCCUUCCUGCCCUGCUGAACCUGAGUGGGAUCCAAAAUGAACUGAGCGCACAUCCAAAAAUGUGUGAGCAUGCGCACAUGCACACGUCUUAGAGGGAACAGUGAAGAGGACUCUGUCUGAAUUCAAGAUGAUCCCCUGAUAUCUAACAUAAAGGAACUUGGAAGAAACCUAGUCUUGGAUUCAGGUAAAUAUAAUGGAGUGUAACGUGGAGCCCCGGGUCCAAUGGACCUGUGGUUCCAUUCCUCCUAGCCCUGCUCUCCUGUCUUAAUUUGGACAUCAUGGAGAGCUCUCUCUCUCUCUGCAGUCAGCAAGAUUGCAAAGAGGAGGGAGAACUGGCUGUGUGAGCUUCCUUCUUGGCUGAAGGACAGCCCCAGCAGCCAAUAGCAGCCAGAGCGAGGGAGGAACUUCCUCCCUCAGUUUUGGUUGCUGAAGAAUGAGACUGUGGUUCCAUGUUCAGACGUAAUGCUGGCACUGCAGUACCGGAGGUACAGGCUGCAAAACUCACUACAAACUGAAGGUACAAAUCGGAAUCUGAGGAGGGAAACUGUGCAUCCAUUUUCUCUCUGAACUGCGGUUGUAUGCAUCCAGACAUACACAGAUUUUAAGCGGCGGUCCCUUCAACUCUGGUUUCGUGUAACGUGUGGAUGCAACCAGUAUCUAGCCUAGCCUUCAAUUACUUUUAAAUGGCUUUAAAUGGUUUUAAUUUUGGACAAUUUCAACAACAGUAAUUGCUUUAAUUAAUUGGCCGGUUGUUUCUAGAGCCAUCUGCGUUAGGCAAUAUAAAAUGUAAUAAUAAUAUUAAUAAUAUUAAUAUUAUCUAUACUGUAUAUUUAAUUCUCUAAGACAUACCCGUGGCUAAUCCCGAGUGUGACAGCUCUCGCAAGAGUUCGUGAGCAAAAGCACCUGAUUAGGCAGUGGGGAUUCCAUAUGCAGAUAGGGAGGAGGAGCCUGUGAGAGCAGAAGCACCAUGGUGAUUGGGCAGUGGGGAUUCCAUAUGCAGAUAGGGGGGAGGAGUCUGUGAUGGUUAAGGUCAGUUUGAAUGCAACUGUUACUGGUCGGAAGAUGUUCUUGAUUGUAGAGGAGAGGAAUCUCUCUAUAUAAAAGGAUAGUGGGCAGGCAGGGGUCUGAGAGGGGUCAGGGAGGAAGGAGCCCCUUGAGAAGAAGGAGGCUGCCGUUAAGUGAAAUAGAUAAGGUGAACAAGAUCUGUUAACUCAGGAAGGGACAGAGAAAGGAAGGAAGGAAAGGCAGACAGACAGAGGGGGAAAGCGAGUGGAGAAGAGAGAAAGAGAGGAGAAUGGAGAAAGAAGGAAGGGCAAUGGAUGGGCCUGAGCCUGUCAGCGGCCUGAGGGAGGCAGGCAGGCAAGAGACAAGCCCGGGCCUGUCAGCGGCCUGAGGGGAAUGAGUGGCAGUGACGGUGGCGGCAGCGAGGAAGGGCCCAGUCAAAUGCUGCUGCUGCUCCUGUGGGGAGGAGCAGAAGCAAGGCUCAGGUGAGGGUGAGGAGGUCUCUUGUAGCCAUGUAUGGUGUCCCUUGUCACAAUACCUGAACAGAGCUAGGUACAGAACUGUAUGCAGCAGCGCUCAUACCCCUGGACUUUUAAAAUCUAUUUAUUUGAUUGAUUGUUUGAUUGAUUCCUAUACCGCCCUUCAAAAAACGGCUCAAGACAUUUUUCACAGAGAAAUAACAAACAAAUAAGAGGGAUCCCUGUCCCCAAAGGGCUCACCAUCUAAAAAGAAACAUGAUGGACACCAGCAACAGUCAUUGGAGGUGUUGCUGGAGAUCUUGAAUCGACCAAACGGGGAUACAUUACUAACUUGGCACAGAGAUAUCACUCCAGAGAGGCACAAGGGGCCCCGGAUACAUGCGAUGGAAACGAAGGGGAAAAAUUAGGUCACACACGGCUGAAAUCAAUAAGGGACCUUCUUCACUGUCAGUUCAAGGGGAAGACUACUUUCCAUACUUGAACUCUGGAACCUCAGCCCACUUGCCCAAAGACCUAUCUGCAAGUUGUUGGCCCAGUGUUGAGGGUGGGAGGAGAAAGACCCGCAGCCAAAUGUUUUCCUCUGCAACCCUUCUGAAUUCCUGGCUCUCCAGAGUCCAUGCGCUGAGUCUCAGGGUAACACUAAUCUGUCAAUAUUCUUGAAUCAUUUGGUAAUAUCAGUGUUGCUGGCAUCUUUGUGAUGGUGCCAGAAUAUCCUAAGGUUAUGUAAAUCUAAGAGCUGAUAUAUGGAGGAACCUGCCAUAGGGCAGGGAGUUGGUCGUUUCACCCCUUAGAUUGAUUCUAUCAUUUAAGGAUUGAAAAAUGUAGACUAGACUUAAGCUGCAUUCACAUGAACUGAAGCAAUUAUGGUGAGAGCGUUCUGAUGGAUUGUUAUGAGGAGGGUGUGUCUUACUCCUGUCAUGUUCACUCGUAAGUCUUGGAAUUGUAUGUGUUGUGAAAAAUAUUUUUGAAGAAAACAGUACUCAGAGUGAUUCUGUGACUAGAGCCUUUUUUUGUUUUA